UUCUUUGGAGAGUUUGAUCCUGGCUCAGGACGAACGCUGGCGGCGUGCCUAAUACAUGCAAGUCGAGCGGACCRAAYSGGAGCUUGCUCUGGUUUGGUCAGCGGCGGACGGGUGAGUAACACGUGGGCAACCUGCCCGCAAGACCGGGAUAACUCCGGGAAACCGGAGCUAAUACCG
This 177-nucleotide ribosomal RNA is filed under the name Geobacillus zalihae. RNAcentral describes it as "partial 16S ribosomal RNA". It matches the Rfam family "Bacterial small subunit ribosomal RNA", at positions 1 to 171 of the family's 1533-position model. Lineage: Bacteria; Bacillati; Bacillota; Bacilli; Caryophanales; Anoxybacillaceae. The record is from RNAcentral.